Molecule: ribosomal RNA, 600 nt
Filed under: uncultured bacterium
Lineage: Bacteria
Description: bacterial SSU rRNA
Rfam family: Bacterial small subunit ribosomal RNA (bases 1-520)
Source: RNAcentral
CCUACGGGAGGCAGCAGUGGGGAAUAUUGGACAAUGGGCGAAAGCCUGAUCCAGCAAUGCCGCGUGAGUGAUGAAGGCCUUCGGGUCGUAAAGCUCUUUUACCAGGGAUGAUAAUGACAGUACCUGGAGAAUAAGCUCCGGCUAACUCCGUGCCAGCAGCCGCGGUAAUACGGAGGGAGCUAGCGUUGUUCGGAAUUACUGGGCGUAAAGAGUACGUAGGCGGUUAUUCAAGUCAGAGGUGAAAGCCCGGGGCUCAACCCCGGAACUGCCUUUGAAACUAGAUAGCCAGAGUCUUGGAGAGGUUAGUGGAAUUCCGAGUGUAGAGGUGAAAUUCGUAGAUAUUCGGAAGAACACCAGUGGCGAAGGCGACUAACUGGACAAGUACUGACGCUGAGGUACGAAAGCGUGGGGAGCAAACAGGAUUAGAUACCCUGGUAGUCCACGCCGUAAACGAUGAUAACUAGUUGUUCGGUCACUUGGUGACUGAGUGACGCANCUACGACAUUAAUUAUCGUCCGUCGGAGGUACGGUCGCGAGAGUAAACGUUAAAGUAAGUAGUAGCGNGUGUAGAGUUCGACGACGACGACGACGGAGGAGGAG